This 440-nucleotide ribosomal RNA is filed under the name uncultured bacterium. RNAcentral's name for it is "partial 16S ribosomal RNA". It matches the Rfam family "Bacterial small subunit ribosomal RNA", at positions 338 to 795 of the family's 1533-position model. The record is from RNAcentral.
CCUACGGGUGGCUGCAGUGGGGAAUAUUGCACAAUGGGGGAAACCCUGAUGCAGCGACGCCGCGUGAGUGAAGAAGUAUUUCGGUAUGUAAAGCCCUAUCAGCAGGGAAGAAAAUGACGGUACCUGACUAAGAAACCCCGGCUAACUACGUGCCAGCAGCCGCGGUAAUACGUAGGGGGCAAGCGUUAUCCGGAUUUACUGGGUGUAAAGGGAGCGUAGACGGCCAUGCAAGUCAGAAGUGAAAACCCACGGCUUAACUGCGGGAGUGCUUUUGAAACUGUUUGGCUGGAGUGCAGGAGAGGUAAGUGGAAUUCCUAGUGUAGCGGUGAAAUGCGUAGAUAUUAGGAGGAACACCAGUGGCGAAGGCGACUUACUAGACUGUAACUGACGUUGAGGCUCGAAAGCGUGGGGAGCAAACAGGAUUAGAUACCCCAGUAGUC